This 343-nucleotide unclassified non-coding RNA is filed under the name soil metagenome. RNAcentral describes it as "partial contains 5.8S ribosomal RNA, internal transcribed spacer 2, and large subunit ribosomal RNA". The stretch from base 1 to 120 matches the Rfam family "5.8S ribosomal RNA", at positions 35 to 154 of the family's 154-position model. The record is from RNAcentral.
GAUGAAGAACGCAGCGAAAUGCGAUAAGUAAUGUGAAUUGCAGAAUUCAGUGAAUCAUCGAAUCUUUGAACGCACAUUGCGCCCGCCAGCAUUCUGGCGGGCAUGCCUGUUCGAGCGUCAUUUCAACCCUCGAGCCCCCCCGGGGGCCUCGGUGUUGGGUGACGGCACACCAGCCGCCCCCGAAAUGCAGUGGCGACCCCGCCGCAGCCUCCCCUGCGUAGUAGCACACACCUCGCACCGGAGCGCGGAGGCGGUCACGCCGUAAAACGCCCAACUUUCUUAGAGUUGACCUCGGAUCAGGUAGGAAUACCCGCUGAACUUAAGCAUAUCAAUAAGCGGAGGA